RNAcentral lists this ribosomal RNA (154 nucleotides) under Salmonella enterica subsp. enterica serovar Heidelberg str. 622737-12. RNAcentral describes it as "partial 23S ribosomal RNA". It matches the Rfam family "Bacterial large subunit ribosomal RNA", at positions 1223 to 1375 of the family's 2925-position model. The record is from RNAcentral. Lineage: Bacteria; Pseudomonadati; Pseudomonadota; Gammaproteobacteria; Enterobacterales; Enterobacteriaceae.
GUUGGGUAGGGGAGCGUUCUGUAAGCCUGUGAAGGUGUGUCGUGAGGCAUGCUGGAGGUAUCAGAAGUGCGAAUGCUGACAUAAGUAACGAUAAAGCGGGUGAAAAGCCCGCUCGCCGGAAGACCAAGGGUUCCUGUCCAACGUUAAUCGGGGC